CUACGGGUUGCUGCAGUGAGGAAUAUUGCACAAUGGGGGGAACCCUGAUGCAGCAACGCCGCGUGGAGGAUGACGCAUUUCGGUGUGUAAACUCCUUUUAUAUGUCAAGAAAAUGACGGUAGCAUAUGAAUAAGCACCGGCUAACUCCGUGCCAGCAGCCGCGGUAAUAGCGGAGGGUGCAAGCGUUACUCGGAAUCACUGGGCGUAAAGGACGCGUAGGCGGGUUGGAAAGUCAGGUGUGAAAUCCUACAGCUUAACUGUAGAACUGCACUUGAAACUUCUAAUCUAGAGUAUGGGAGGGGGAGAUGGAAUUAGUGGUGUAGGGGUAAAAUCCGUAGAUAUCACUAGGAAUACCUAAAGCGAAGGCGAUCUCCUGGAACAUUACUGACGCUAAGGCGUGAAAGCGUGGGGAGCAAACAGGAUUAGAUACCCGCGUAGUC
Molecule: ribosomal RNA, 440 nt
Filed under: uncultured bacterium
Lineage: Bacteria
Description: partial 16S ribosomal RNA
Rfam family: Bacterial small subunit ribosomal RNA
Source: RNAcentral